Pelobates cultripes (western spadefoot toad) is the source of this 247-nucleotide non-coding RNA. The record is from the annotation of a GenBank genome assembly. NCBI's taxonomy places the organism in Eukaryota, Metazoa, Chordata, Amphibia, Anura, Pelobatidae.
GGGGGAUUGGGACAAAAUGUGUAUGACCCUGAACUGUGAAAGAGCUGUCAGAAUUUUGUUUCACCUGUUGUGAUUUGAGACCAAAUGUUAAUGUUACUGUUUAUGUCUUACUACUCUGCCACAAACAAAAAUGCUGCACACAAAGACAAACACCCAUACAGGCCCUAGAGCCACCACACACCGAGGUGGGGAAAACAAACACACUCCCACUGAGUUAUCACUGAGGAGCCGCACAGGGAUGUCACGG